ACGAUUGUCGGGGCCUCCGGGUCCCAACUCCAACCCUUUGUUUACCCCAAACGUUUGCUUCGGUGGGCCGGUGCCCCCGCGGCGCCGCCGGCCCUCGGGCUGGAGAGCGCCCACCGACGGCGGAUUCAAACUCGGUUUACACCCGUGACGUCUGAGUUAUUUUAUAAUGAAGCA
Molecule: unclassified non-coding RNA, 174 nt
Filed under: uncultured Dothideomycetes
Lineage: Eukaryota; Fungi; Ascomycota; Dothideomycetes
Description: sequence contains ITS1
Source: RNAcentral